AACGCGGCCAUCAUACGCCGACCCCACGAGUGCUCGUGGGUGAAGACAUAGUCUAACUCCGGGCGUAAGCCUGGGUAAAGUUGCGAUGUCGGCUCUUCCCAUCCUGGUCCUGCAGCAGGGGCCAAGGGUGGGGCUGCUCGCCCAUUAAAGGGGAACGUGAGCUGGGUUUAGACCGUCGUGAGACAGGUCGGCCUCUACCUGAUGGAAGCGGUGGUUCACUGAGGGGAAGCCCUGCCCAGUACGAGAGGAACAGCGGGGCGUUGCCUCUGGCGUACCGGUCGUCCGAGAGGGCGUCGCCGGGCAGCUAAGCAAUUGUGGAUAACCGCUGAAAGCAUCUAAGCGGGAAGCCACUCCCGAGAAGAGUUGGCCUUAGGCCUUAACCUCCGGCGCAAGCUGGAGGAGCGGGCCUUGGAGCGCAGCGAUAGAAGAUCGCGUUGAAGGACCAGCGGUGUACGCAAGAAGCUUCGGCGACUUGUUCAGCCGGUCUGGCACCUAUAGCGCAACGCAGGAUGAGU
Molecule: ribosomal RNA, 515 nt
Filed under: Nitrososphaerota archaeon
Lineage: Archaea; Thermoproteati; Nitrososphaerota
Description: partial 23S ribosomal RNA
Rfam family: Archaeal large subunit ribosomal RNA
Source: RNAcentral